CCUACGGGAGGCAGCAGUGGGGGAUAUUGCACAAUGGGGGGAACCCUGAUGCAGCGACGCCGCGUGGGUGAAGGAGUGCUUCGGCAUGUAAAGCCCUAUCGGCAGGGAAGAAGCAAGACGGUACCUGACUAAGAAGCCCCGGCUAACUACGUGCCAGCAGCCGCGGUAAUACGUAGGGGGCGAGCGUUAUCCGGAUUCACUGGGUGUAAAGGGAGCGUAGACGGCAGUGCAAGUCUGGAGUGAAAGGCGGGGGGCCAACCCCCGGACUGCUCUGGAAACUGUACGGCGGGAGUGCAGGAGAGGUAAGUGGAAUUCCUAGUGUAGCGGUGAAAUGCGUAGAUAUUAGGAGGAACACCAGUGGCGAAGGCGGCUUACUGGACUGUAACUGACGUUGAGGCUCGAAAGCGUGGGGAGCAAACAGGAUUAGACACCCGAGUAGUC
RNAcentral lists this ribosomal RNA (441 nucleotides) under uncultured bacterium. RNAcentral's name for it is "partial 16S ribosomal RNA". It matches the Rfam family "Bacterial small subunit ribosomal RNA", at positions 338 to 795 of the family's 1533-position model. The record is from RNAcentral.